This 4930-nucleotide long non-coding RNA is filed under the name Canis lupus familiaris (dog). Its description in RNAcentral is "lncRNA (ENSCAFG00845005704.1)". The record is from RNAcentral. Lineage: Eukaryota; Metazoa; Chordata; Mammalia; Carnivora; Canidae.
CCUGGAUAUGUUGACAUAAUAGAUAAACUCACAAUUCUUAACGACUUAACUCAAUAAAAUUUAUUAUUCACUCAUGACACUGCAUGUCAUUGCAAAUGGCAUGAUUUCAUUGAUUUCAUUCUCUGUUUCUUUCUCUGUCUCUCUGUCUCUCUCUCUGUCUCUAUAUGUAGAAAGAGACAGACAGAGAGAGAGAAACUCAGCCGUAUAUACAUAUAUCUUCUUCAUCCAUUCAUCAGUUAAUGGAUACUUAGGAUCUUUCCAUAAUUUGGCUAUUGUCGAUAAUGCUGCUAUAAACAUUCAGAUGUAUGUAACUCCUCAAAUCAGGAUUUAUGUUUCCUUCGGGUAAACACCUAUCAGUACAAUUGUUGGAUCAUAAGAUAGUUCUAUUUUUAAGUUUUUGAGGAAACUCCAUACUGCUUUCCAGAGUGGCUGCGCCAGUUUGCAUUCCCACCAACAAUGCAAGAGGGUUCCCUUUUCCCCCACAUACUCAUGAAUAUCUGUUAUUUGCUGUGUUGUUAAUUUCAGCCAUUCUGAUAGGUGUGAGGUGGUAUCUCAUUGUAGUUUUAAAAUUAAAUUAAUUUGAAAUAAUUUUAAUUUCUAAGUAGCAUUCUCCAAUAAAUAGAAUCAUGAUUCCUAGAGAAAGUGGUAAUUCCAGGGCUAUGGCAGAAAAAGUCCAUACAUACAUUUAGAUUUUCUUUUUAUGGCCAAAAGUCAGGAUGCACUAAAAAAAAUAUAUAAGAAUGUGUCAAAAAUUCAAGGAAGCUAGCUUAAAUGGGUUUACAUCUACUAACAGAAUAAUUUGGGAAUGAACCCAAAUAAUUUGGAAAUCAACAUUAUUGUAAUGGAUUACGAUCCAUCAAAUAUUCCUUGAGUCCUCCAUACCAAAUUAAAAAAAAAAAAACAUAGGAAUGAAGGGAAAUAUCUUCCCUACAGUAAAAUAUUAACAAAGGUAAAGGGAAUAAUCAUCACUAUGCAACACCCAAAACAAUGAAUUAUGGAAGAAUGGAUGUUAAAACUAAAGGAUGAGAUUUUGAUGCUGAACAAGAUAUUCACUUUGUCUUAAAGUAGAACUUCAUUCCUAUUUCUUACUUGUUACACAAUUAACAAUAGAGUGAUCUGAAGGUUACUACUUAAACAAAUGAUCAAAUUUUACAUCACUAAUAUGGGACAAACUGAUAUCUGCCUCUUGAUAUGUUGCACUAAAGAAGGAGAACUUAGAUAAUAUCAUUGUCCAAAAUGCAUGUUCUAAACUAAAUGAUAAAGACUAAAGGACAUUAAGCAAAUAAAUGGCCUAUGGUCUUCAAAAUAUCAAAGUUUUGAAAGACAAAAACUUAUAGAUGAAUUAGCCCAGAUUAAAGCAAACAAAAGAGACAUGAAAAGAAAAUGAGAUGUGUGAUCUUGGACCAGAAAAAUUCUAAGAGGAAACUCUUGGGGAGAUUUGGCAAAAUAUGAGUAAAGUUGUAGGUUGGAUAAUAGCAUUGCAGCAAUGUCAAAUUUCCUGUUUUUAUCAUAGGAUAUAUAUUGACAUAUUUAAACAAAAAGUGUCCUGAUGUUUGCAAGUUAUUAUCAAGUGGUUCUGAAAAUAAUGGUAAAAUUUACAUAUUAAAUCUUGAAAAGUAUUCAGGAAUUCUUUGUCCUAUGCUUGCUACUACUUUUCUCUAAGUUAAAACUAAUUUAAAAUUAUUUUGAAAGUUAAAAACUUCAGGGCACCUGGAUGGCUCAGUAGUUGAGCAUCUGACUUUAGCACGGGUCCUGAUCCCAGUGUCCUGGGUUUGAGUCCCACAUCAGGUUCCCCACACGGAGCCUGCUUUUCCCUCUGCCUAGGUCUCUGCCUCUGUCUGUGUCUCAAAUAAAUAAAUAAAUAAAUAAAUAAAUAAAUAAAUAAAAUCUUUUAAAGAAGUUAAAAACCUCAUUAAUUAUUUCUCUCUUUAGUUCCAAGGUGUUAUAAUUUUGAGACUCAAUUAGUGCAGUUUGAUAAUGACAGAAGAAAUGCAAGGAAUUUAUGAGUUCAACAACAAUAAUAAAAACAGCAACUACAAAAGAGGAAUAACACUUUAAGCAAACAACUGGUAGAAUAAUUUAAGAUAAAUACUAUUGAUUGUUAAGCCACAUUUAUUACUGGAAUGUUUUACUCAUUUCUGAUGUCUAUGAAGAGUGAAAAGGAAUUAAAAAAUAACAAUAAGGUUUCAUAUAGUACAGAAGUGGAAUUCAGUGAGAUGAAGGAUGUGUCUUUCAGGAUUCCCAAAACCCUUUUACUGUUGUGCAGCUUGCCUAAAGGAAAUUGCAUCACACUAAAAUUCAUUAGGAUGUCAUUAAUGAGGUCUGUGCACAUUUCAGUCCAAAUGAACUUUGACAUCUGUCUACAGGCCCCAAAACUGGUUCUCUGAUACUUUCAUUAGAGGGGAACACUGUCUCCAUGCACAUGAAAAUGAAACAAGCGAAUUGCAAAUAUUAAGACUGUAGGAAAGAAAGAAAUAUAAAGACUGUUACAAUUAAAUAACAAUUUCUAAUAUUAUUUCAAAACCUCCCAGACUUCUAGUGUAAAAAUAGAUUUGAUUAAUUUAACAGUCUCUAAAACUAACUAUAAUUCAACCACAAAUACCCAUGUUUUGAAUGUGCACUAGCAAUUCCUAGGAAUUGGAAAUUAGUGUUAUCAUAGUCUUACUAAUUAUAAAAAUAUUAAUUUCUCUGUCAUAGUUACAUACAUUUGUCAAUCAUCUAAUCUGCACACUUAAGUGGUAGUCUCUUUAGACUUGUAAACAAUAAUAUUUACAUACUAAGUAUAGAUGUAUUGAUUGCAAGUGCUUUUAAAUAACGAAAAGAUUUAUAAUUAAUGUCAAGUAGUAGUGUAUUAAAUAUUGACUAAAAUGUGAAUAAAGUUCAGUUACAAAAUGAAUGCUUUUUUUUUUCCACUGAAAUGUUACAUACUACCUUUUUUCCAUAUGUGAUUCAAAUUAUAUCACCACAUCUGGCAUAAAAAAGGUUCUAUUUUUUCUAAGUUUUGACAAUAUAUGACAAUCCAUGACAGCUUCUUAUCUAUCUAUAAAAAACUCAACUUACAAGGCCGUCAAUUGUUUUUCUCUUUGUUUGUGCUUGAAAACUGCAUUAAGGGUAACCUGCAGAAAGAAAAGAAAAAAAACAUAAUACACCUCAUUUUUUUGUUUUAAAUUUACUUUAUAAACAACAUUCGUAUCUGUUAUAGAUCUGAUUUCAUUCUAUUCUAGGUAAAAAUACCUAACAGUCCUUAAAAUAUUUUUUUUCCUAAAAUAUUCUCUGCAUUCUGACAUCUGUUAGAAAUAAAGGAAUAAAAUUAAUCAGUGAAUAUAAUAUUAAAACUCAAGGAAAGUGUAAAAAAAAUGAUUAUCAAUUUUAGUAAAAAUGGUAUUACAUAUCAACAACUCUCUUUUUUAUACAUGUUUUCAUUUUCAUGAUUCAGAAAUUAGUGUUCAUAGAGUCAUCAUUGCCACAUAAAGUAACAAACUGUGGUGAAAAAUUGACAAUCAUCAUGCUAAUUAAAUCAAUUAAAUUGGAUAUCUCAAUAUUAUAUCCUCAUUCAUAUUAAAUAGUGGCUGAAUUAUUCGAUUGGUUGUCAACAUUAGUCAAGUCAUUGAAGAAAGCUUGAUUCUGACAAUCUAACUCAAAGUAUCCCAUCUGUGAUGUGGACAUACACUAUUUUAUUCCCUGAAAACACCCUCUUCUAUUUUCUGAUACAGUGUUAGAUACAGAACCUGAUCAGCAUGUGCUUGAGCAUUGCAAAGUUAAGCUCACAAUAUUUUUUGUCAUAUGAAUGAUGGAUAAUGCCUAACACCAGCUGUCUUUUCAGCUGUGACUUGCCAUCUAGCCUGUCAAAUAGCUCAAUCAAAAAAUCAGUAUGAUAUGCUACUCCUUUUACUGAGAGAAAUGCCUCAAGUCAUAAAGUUUCACAAUACCCUUUGGUGAUUUACAUAAAACUGUUUUCUUUUUUUUUCUUUUUAUUUUUUUUUAAAUUUUAUUUAUUUAUGAUAGGCACACAGUGAGAGAGAGAGAGAGAGAGAGAGGCAGAGACACAGGCAGAGGGAGAAGCAGGCUCCAUGCACCGGGAGCCCGAUGUGGGAUUCGAUCCCGGGUCUCCAGGAUCACGCCCUGGGCCAAAGGCAGGCGCUAAACUGCUGCGCCACCCAGGGAUCCCUAAAACUGUUUUCAUUCCAAAUUUCCUCUUCUCUUACUGAUAUUAGAUAAUGGGAGAUUUAUAUAAGGCUAAUUUUGAUCAUAAUUAGAUGCUUUUCACAUUUUUCUUUUACCUAUUUAUUAGUAGACCCAUUAUACUAUCUUAUGGAAGGCACUAAAUUAUCAAAGAGCCCUAAUGACUAUUGAGUUUAGAUUUUUUGACAGAUCUGUUUAGCUUUUGUAUUCAAGUCUAAGAGAUAUGCAAAACAAAUCAAAGCACUUUGUUUUCUUAUUAAUUCCAACUCCUGAGACAACUCUGUAAAUAUAAAUGUAGAAGUCUCAAAAUGGGGGUAAUGAGAUCCUUAACUCUCUGUGUAGUUAAGAUGACCAUUCUAUAGUCAUUUACUGUGUAAAUAACUUACUUUCCAGGAACUUCAUAAACAGGAAUGAUCUUCCUCUGGCACUUAUUGUUUUUACUUCAUCUUUUUUAGGCAGUCCAUUGGUACUGUGAGAAAAAAUUAAUGAGUGCCAUACUUUAUUGAUGUACAUGCUAAAUUUUAUGGACUAUGAAGUAUAGUUUUACUUCUGUUCCUUUAACAUAAACAGAGACAUCAUGGGACAUCUGGGUGGCACAGUUGGUUGACUGUCCAACUUCUGAUCUCAGGGUGGUAAGAUUGAGCCCCCCCUCAGUCUGGCUCUAUGCUCAGCAUGGAAUCUGCUUGGGAUUCUCACUCCCUCUGUCCUCCUGCUGGUGCUCUCUCUCUCUCUCUGUAUCUCUCUCUCU